RNAcentral lists this long non-coding RNA (522 nucleotides) under Camelus dromedarius (Arabian camel). Its description in RNAcentral is "lncRNA (ENSCDRG00005020611.1)". The record is from RNAcentral. Lineage: Eukaryota; Metazoa; Chordata; Mammalia; Artiodactyla; Camelidae.
CUUCAUAUCAUAUUUCUCUUGCUCGAGUUAACUCUGCCUGUCACUCCAUGCAAAUUACAGUCUUUACAAGGCCCACCCCUCGGUCUGGGUAUUCAUUGCUUUAAUCAAGGAGCAUAUAGGCAACUCUCACAGCAGCUUUUUUUUUUUUUUAAUUUUUUUUCAGUUGAAGUUAGUUGAUUUACAAUGUUGUGUUAGUUUCUGGCGUACGGCAUAGUGAUUCAGUUACAGGUACAUCUUAAUCAUUGUAUUCUUAGCCAGACGUGACUAUAUAAUUGGUCUCCUUUUACUCCUCUGUAUUUGAUUCCAUUGAAAAACACCCUUCUGGGCAAGGGUCCCUUGGUUUCCCCGGACGGCCGGUGGGAUCUGUGACACCGGAAAGGUCAAAGACCCGAUUGGUUGGGCCCUGGGCUCAGCCGGUGGACAGUCCUGGCCAGCAGCUGCGAGGGCUAGAGCCCAGGGAUGAGUGUGCCCAGGGGAGAUGCGAGCCCCGCGGGCCUCCCUCUGACCUGUCGCUGAAGCACG